UACGGGGGGGGCAAGCGUUGUCCGGAAUCAUUGGGCGUAAAGCGCGUGUAGGCGGUCCGGUAAGUCCGCUGUGAAAGUCGGGGGCUCAACCCUCGGAUGCCGGUGGAUACUGUCGGGCUUGAGUACGGAAGAGGCGAGUGGAAUUCCUGGUGUAGCGGUGGAAUGCGCAGAUAUCAGGAGGAACACCGGUGGCGAAGGCGGGAUCCUGGGCCAGUACUGACGCUGAGGAGCGAAAGCAUGGGGAGCGAACAGG
RNAcentral lists this ribosomal RNA (253 nucleotides) under uncultured bacterium. RNAcentral describes it as "partial 16S ribosomal RNA". It matches the Rfam family "Bacterial small subunit ribosomal RNA", at positions 524 to 776 of the family's 1533-position model. The record is from RNAcentral.